Non-coding RNA from Nicotiana tabacum (common tobacco), 222 nucleotides. Lineage: Eukaryota; Viridiplantae; Streptophyta; Magnoliopsida; Solanales; Solanaceae. The record is from RefSeq and is a predicted model, not a curated record.
UUCAGGUGUGCUUUUUUCGGCAAUUUUUUAGGUCAGUUCGGAAAGCUGACUACUUGACCAUGCGCCAUGGUUUCAUCUCGGUCCAUUUAGCACCAGGAAGUAAGUUUAAUUUUCAAAAGUACAUUAAAAGAUCUCUAGAAGAUGACUUCAAGAUUGUUGUGGGUAUCAAUUCAUUGCUAUGGUUUUCUGCAGUUGUUUAUCUUCUGAUGAAUGUUCAUGCAC